AGCGGAAACGGUGCGGGGUGUGCGUGCCCUGCAAGCGGCUCAUCAACUGUGGAGUCUGCAGCAGUUGCAGGAACCGCAAAACGGGACACCAGAUCUGCAAGUUUAGGAAAUGCGAAGAGCUUAAGAAAAAGCCGGGCACGUCGCUAGAGAGAACACCUGUUCCCAGCGCUGAAGCAUUCCGAUGGUUCUUUUAAGCAGUAGUGUAUCUUAUUUUCAAGGCAGUCCGAAGUGAAUGGCAAGCUAAAGUCUUGUUUUAAGAAACUGCUUAGUCCACCAUUGAAGAAUAUACUCAGAUACUAUUUUCAUUUCUGUAUAGGGGUUUCCUCAAAAAACAAACCACAAAAAAUCUGGGAGCCUGGGGAAUUGGCCAGUCGAUCCACAUUCAGUACACUGGUUCUUUCUUUGAUGUAACUUAGCUAUACUAGUGAAGUUGUUGUCUAUUUUUAAAGUGGCUGUAAAAAAAAAAAAAAAAACUUUGGGUAAACCCCUGCUAUAAAGUCAUGUAUCUUUGAAAAGUAACAUAUCUAUACUUCAUUUUCGAAUAUAUGUGUUCCAGUACUGUAAACUGUACAGAUAGCAGCUUGUAUUUUGUGUGUUUAGACACAAGGAGACAAUCACGUCUGAGCAUCUAUGGAGAUGAACGGUUUGUACACAACGGUGUGGUUCUGCGAGUUAAAUCUGGAGCAAUAAAUCCUAGCUUUAAAUAUUAUUUUGCUAGUUGUUUAGCAGCAGCAGCAACAGCAGCACUGUUUUACCAUGCAGCCUUCCAUAGAGACUUGAUGCCAAGUUUUACACGAUAAAAAAGAUUACGACGCAUCUAGCAAUUGCCUUCCGCCAUGGUGGUGUGUGAGGGGAAGACAUAAAAUUUAAAAUUAAUCUUUCGAGCACUGUAUUAGAGUAGUGGUUUGCUUGCAUUGCUUCCAGGAGAACUUUACAGAAGGGUCUCUCUCUCUCCCCAAAAGGCUCUAUGGUGUGGGCUUGCUUUUGGCUGUGCUGUAAGGCGGGCUGCACGACAUAGGUGGCCGUGCAAAACCAGUCGUCUGUAGAAAGCUUGUUCUGGGAUACUGAGUGAAGUGAGUACGAGACCGUAGGAAAAGCGAUGACGCCGUCAAAGUGCCCUCCGUCUGUGAGUUCUCGUGUAAGCUUUUCAGCCAAUGGAGGAAGUUAUAAAGUUGAAUGCAAUAUUUUUGUUCCACAUAGAGCUCUCCACCAUUAAGCGAGUUACGACGUUGAUACUGGUUUGGGUCUCACUUGCCGUUAUACUCAACUGAGAGCCUGAAUAUUUGGGGGGGUGUGAAAUUUACCUUUAUUUUAUAAUUUACAAAACAUGAAUGCUUCUUGCACACACGUCUGGGUCCGCUGAUCUGGACUGUGUUGAACCACCAGCCCUACCAUCCUGCUUCCUGCCCUUGCUGUGCACAUAAAACGUUUGCUCCUUGAAAAGGCAGCUUAUGGAAGAUACUGAACUU
Nothoprocta perdicaria is the source of this 1469-nucleotide long non-coding RNA. RefSeq lists it as uncharacterized. Lineage: Eukaryota; Metazoa; Chordata; Aves; Tinamiformes; Tinamidae. The transcript has 2 exons. The record is from RefSeq and is a predicted model, not a curated record.